GGGUGUAUAGCUCAGUGGUGGAGUGUAUGCUUAGCAUGCACAAGGGCCUGAGUUCAAUCCCCGGUGCCUCCA
RNAcentral lists this transfer RNA (72 nucleotides) under Camelus bactrianus (Bactrian camel). It matches the Rfam family "tRNA". From Rfam's summary of the family: Transfer RNA (tRNA) molecules are approximately 80 nucleotides in length. Their secondary structure includes four short double-helical elements and three loops (D, anti-codon, and T loops). Lineage: Eukaryota; Metazoa; Chordata; Mammalia; Artiodactyla; Camelidae. RNAcentral also lists the same sequence under 2 other names. The record is from Rfam by way of RNAcentral.